AGUGAAUAGAUACCCAGGUAGUCCUAGCUGUAAACGAUGGACACUAGGUGUUGGAGGCAUCGACCCCUUCAUGCUGUUCUGCUAACGCGUUAAGUGUCCCGCCUGGGGAGUACGGCCGCAAGGUUGAAACUCAAAGGAAUUGACGGGGGCCCCGGCACAAGCGGUGGAGCAUGUUGGUUAAUUGGAUGAUACGCCAAGAACCUUACCAGGGUUUGACAUCAUUGGGACAGCUGGUGAAAGCCAGUCUCCGUAGCAAUACGGUCCAUUGACAGGUGGUGCAUGGUUGUCGUCAGCUCGUGUCGUGAGAUGUUGGGUUUAAGUCCCGCAACGAGCGCAACCCUCGCUGGAUGUUGCCAUCGGUAACGCCGGGAACUCUUCCAGGACUGCCCCGAGUAAUCGGGAGGAAGGAGGGGACGACGUCAAAUCGGCAUGCCCCUUACACCCUGGGCUGCAAACGUGCUACAAUGGCCGGUACAAAGGGUAGCUAAGCCGCGAGGUGGAGCCAAUCCCCAAAAGCCGGUCCCAGUUCGGAUUGGGUGUCUGCAACUC
Molecule: ribosomal RNA, 549 nt
Filed under: uncultured bacterium
Lineage: Bacteria
Description: bacterial SSU rRNA
Rfam family: Bacterial small subunit ribosomal RNA
Source: RNAcentral